AAACACGCUGACACGCAGGAAUCCGCUACUUUAGCACUCACUCGCAAAGCGUAGCAGCGAAUUACCAGAAAGAAACCGAACAUUUAGCGACAAGUUCCUCAAGGAUCACGGCCGUUUCUGACACGGAAUAAAGAGCUUCGAUCCACGAAGGUCGCAAGAAGCUUCGCUGCAAAAUCCUUGCCUUGCUUGACGCAUCAUCAUACAUGAUACAACAAUCUUGGUCCAGUUCCAUGGCCGUGCCUUGCUUCUCCGUGUGAUCUUUGCUGCAACUUCGGAGAAAGAACGAGAGGAGGAGGAGGAGGCCGUGUCCUCCUCGCAUGGUAUUUCUAGCGGCCGUCCCCUGUCGUCGAUCGCGAUCGCUUCCGAGAAAGAAUGGGCGGGGUGUUGAGCGCGCUGUUCGGCGGCCACCGGCGGAGAGCGGCCGAGGCGAGGAGGAUGACGAUGUCGAGGAGCGGUGAGCCGUCGGGACACGGCCGUGGAGGCGGCGGAGGCGGCGAGCAGCGGCGGAGGGGGAUGCUGUCCAAGAAGUACUCGUACAUACCGGACACCUUCACCUCUCUCGACCAGGUGAUUGAUGACGGGCCAUCUUCAUCUCACAUGAUUGUUCCUCGCUUCAUCUUCAUCUCCUGCCUGCUCGCCUGCCUGACUUGGUUAGCUUUGAUUUCUCAGGUGGCUUCGGCGCUGCGCGAUCAGGGCCUCGAGUCGUCCAACCUCAUCCUCGGGGUGGACUUCACCAAGAGCAACGAAUGGACAGGGAAGCGGUCGUUCAACGGACAGAGCCUGCACAAGCUGGGCGACGCGCCCAACCCUUACGAGGCGGCCAUCAGCAUCAUCGGCAAGACGCUCGCUCCCUUCGACGAGGACAACCUCAUCCCCUGCUUCGGCUUCGGCGACGCGACCACGCACGACUACAACGUCUUCAGCUUCCACCCGGACAACUCGCCGUGCCACGGCUUCGAGGAGGUGCUGGCCUGCUACCGGAACGUCGUGCCGCACCUCAGGCUAUCAGGGCCGACGUCCUUCGCGCCGAUCGUGGAGGCCGCCGUCGACAUCGUGGACAGGACCGGAGGCCAGUACCAUGUCCUCGUCAUCGUCGCCGACGGCCAGGUCACUAGGAGUGUGGAUACCAGUGAUGGCGAUCUGAGCCCGCAGGAGAGAAGAACCGUGGACUCCAUUGUCAUGGCCAGUUCGUAUCCCUUGUCCAUCGUGCUGGUCGGGGUCGGGGAUGGCCCAUGGGAGGACAUGCAGAAGUUCGACGACAAGCUCCCCGCGCGCGCCUUCGACAACUUCCAGUUUGUGAACUUCACGUCCAUCAUGUCGAGGAACGCGACGCUGCAGCAGAAGGAGUCGGCGUUCGCGCUGGCGGCGCUCAUGGAGGUGCCCAUCCAGUACAAGGCCACCAUGGAGCUCGGCAUCCUAGGCCGGUCCACGGGGAAGGCCAAGAGGGUCGUCCCGGCCCCGCCUCCGCUGCCGGGGUCUGCGCAGAGGCAGCCGUCGUCGUUCAGGCGGGAGGCUAGCGGCGCGAACGCCGCGGCGGCGGAGCCAAGAGAGGAUCAGGUGUGCCCAAUCUGCUUGACCAAUGCCAAGGAUCUAGCAUUUGGCUGCGGCCACAUGUGUUGCAGGGAGUGUGGGGAGAACCUCGACAGAUGCCCGAUAUGCCGAGAGACAAUACGCUCCAAGCUGAGGCUGUACACGGGAUGAUUGAUUCAAACCAAAAUAUGUCAUUAUAUUUGUUUCAAAUGUGAAGCAUUUCGCAGACAAAAUGCAGCGUCUGAGUUAUUCUGAUUGCAUGGUUCUACACUUGUUUUUCUCUAAAUAAGUGUGAGGUCUUGAAGCUCCGUAUCAUCAUGCGCGUGAGGUCUUCUCUUCUCUAACUUCGGACCGUGACAAGUUUUACACGUGUGACACGAACACAUGGUGGCAGGUUUCAAAUUUUUUAGGGGGAAGGGGGGAGGGUCUUUUCGGACGCCAACUUUAGUUGUAAAAAAACGACAGGUCAGAGUGUUCAUGUCACACGUGUGACAUUUAUUAUUUGGGCUAUCUUAUCAUGGACACUACUCGAGCUAAGGAAAUGAAUGGGAUGAGUUCUUGCAGGGUGACCGCCCUCUGCACCUACAUAAACCAUGGGUC
RNA transcript from Triticum aestivum (bread wheat), 2130 nucleotides. It is a transcript of the gene named E3 ubiquitin-protein ligase RGLG4, with no coding region annotated. The record is from RefSeq and is a predicted model, not a curated record. Lineage: Eukaryota; Viridiplantae; Streptophyta; Magnoliopsida; Poales; Poaceae. The transcript is spliced from 9 exons.